This 46-nucleotide non-coding RNA is filed under the name Schistosoma mansoni. The record is from RNAcentral. Lineage: Eukaryota; Metazoa; Platyhelminthes; Trematoda; Strigeidida; Schistosomatidae.
GCACUUCUGAUGAGUCCCACAAUAGGAUGAAACGGCCGUCCAGUGC